CUGGAUUAGACUCUGGACUCUGUCAUUUGUGAACUUGGACAAAUGACCUAACUUCUCUGGGACUCAAUUUCUUCAUCUUCGAAGGAGGAAUCUUUAAAAAGGGUAUCUCUGCCAGUGAAUUGCUUAGCAUAGUGCCUGGCACAUAGUAAAUCUUCACAAAAUAAUAGCUAUUAUCAUUGUUAUUAAUAUUUCUGAUGGCUUUUCAGUUCUCCUAAGGCCUGGCUUUACUUAGUUCCCUUUCCCAAGAGCCCAUUGUCUGUGUCUUUAUCCUCACCCUCCCUUCCCUUGAGGGAGUCUUGAAGGGCAUGCGCAGGCUGGCGUCCAGUGCAGUGAAAACCAGCUCUACCCUUUAAGACGAGCUCUUGAGAGGUUGGUUUGAGUCAUGUGCAAGAUUUGUUCUUCAUACAGUCACAACAAAAGGAAGAUAUAAAUAAUUCGUACUCCCACCAUGUUGUUUCCUUCUUUCAUCCUCAGGCCCUAUAAGUGUACAUCUGGGUCAUGCUCUAUGAAGAGACUGUUGUUAUCAAUGAGUUCGAUGCAUAUAUUUGUUAGCACUGACAGAUUCAGACACAGAUAUUUUCCACCUCCAAUGUUCAGAUCUGGUGUAGCUGCUGGGAGCCCUGGGCUGGAUAUGUACCCAGGUGACUCAUGGGGAAGGAUGCACCCUUCUGAGAAGCAUCACCUUUCUCAAGAAGCAUGACAGAGCUCCCGAUAUUAGACUUUCAAGACGUCUACCAGGCCUUCUUUGGAAUAAAUUGUGUCAUUGAAUGGAGAUGCGGUCUUGCUGUGUUGUCUGGGCUGUUCUGGAACUUCUGGCCUCAAGCAAUUCUCCUGCCUCAGCCUCCUGAAGUGCUA
Molecule: long non-coding RNA, 855 nt
Filed under: Homo sapiens (human)
Lineage: Eukaryota; Metazoa; Chordata; Mammalia; Primates; Hominidae
Description: HSALNT0218715
Source: RNAcentral